Molecule: long non-coding RNA, 1982 nt
Organism: Bos taurus (domestic cattle)
Lineage: Eukaryota; Metazoa; Chordata; Mammalia; Artiodactyla; Bovidae
Source: Ensembl
CUGAUUGGGAGGGAUUGGGAACAGGAGGAGAAGGGGACGACAGACGAUGAGAUGGCUGGAUGGCAUCACUGACUCGAUGGACAUGAGUCUGAGUGAACUCCGGGAGUAGGUGAUGGACAGGGAGGCCUGGCAUGCUGUGAUUCAUGGGGUCGCAAAGAGUCGGACACGACUGAGCGACUGAGCUGAACUGAUAAUACAGAUAACUAAUGAAAACCUAUUAUAUGGCUCAGGAGAUCGGUCCCCUCUGGGAGCAGCCCUGCUGUUCUGGGAGCCUCAACACAGCAGGGCAGGUUAUGUUGUGAUGAGUGGCCUCUGGGUCUGCUAACCUUCUGAAACGACUGCCCAGGCAGGCUGGGACCCGGUCACCAGCCCAGGGUGGAAAGCACAUUUGCAUUACAAGAAAUGGAAGGCAACACCCCUAGAGCCCCCAGCUGAGUAACAGGAACCCGGGCUCAGUUCCCCUGCUGUUGGGACUGCACUGAGAACUGGAAAAAAAGAAGCCGGUGGCAGGGUGACAUCAAGCCAUGCAGUUUCAGAUUCAACCCAUAUUUAAAUGGAAAUCACAGCAACAAAGAAUAUGACUUUCCCUUGCAAAUAUGGGUGUUCAUUUCUCCUUCAAAGGAACCGAGACAGUGUGAGGCGUGAUGGCGUGGCUUUAUGUGAUGGUGGGCACUUUUCCGGAGUCUCUCCUUGGUCUCUCAUCCAGCCCUCCACGGUGGGUCCUGAUGUCCAUGCACCAACUGGGAAACCAAGGCCUUAGUUUUCCAAGAGUUUGGAUGCACGUGCCAGGACCAAGGAGCAAGGCUCGCCACUACUGGUUAGUCACGUGCUUGCUAAACACGUGGAAACAGCAGGUCCUGCACGGCUCUCUCUGUGCUCAGGAAGGAGGGUGGGGGUCCCUGUCCAUUCUUGAACAGUGGUAAGUAUUUUAAACCCUUAUGUUAGUUUCAAUCUUCAGGUAAUAGACAACAUUCAUUAUAGAAAAAUCAGAAGAUUUUUUAGAAAAAGGUGGAAUGACUUCCCUGGUGGCCCAGGGGCUAAGGCUUCAAGCUCCCAAGGCAGGGGUCCAGGGUUCAAUCCCUGGUCAAGGAACUGGAUCCCACAGACCACAACUAAGAGUUUUCGUGCCACAGCUAAAGAUCCCACAUGCUGCAACGAAGACCUGCGGCAGCCAAAUAAAUGAGUGAGUAAAAUAAACAUUAAAAAAUAAAAAGGGGGAGAGGAAUGUCCAUCAUUUCACUGUCUGAUUUGGUGCAUGUUCUUUCAAAUUGUUUCUGAUCAUAUACACACAGGUGUAGGUUUCUACAUGUGAAUGCAUUUCCAUGAGGCUCUACAUUCCUGGUUUACAACAGGCUUCAUUUCCUUCACAUGGGGUGGACGUUUUUCCAUGGCAACGAUUUAAGAUAUUUUCAAGGGCUGCAUAGAAUUCCAUAUACAGCCAUAUCAUAAUUUGUUUAAUUCCUUCCUUUGGUUGGACAUUUGAUUAUCUCCUUAACAUAAAUUCCAAGAGCUGGAAUGCCUUGGACAAAGGUUCCAAACGAAUUUUGUUGUAGUUGUGAAGCUGGCUUGCAGAGGCACUGUGAGCACACCAGAAGCCCACCCUCCCUCCAGCCAUGGGCUGGAUGGCUGUUCUCAUCCUUGCCAGCCUUACCCGUGGAUUGUGGCCCACCGGACUCCUCUGUCCUCAGUUCAUGGGAUUUCCAAGAGUACUGGAGUGGGCUUCCAUUUCCUUCUCCAUAAAAAAGGGUAUUUACUGUUAAGAGUGAGAUUAAAUAUUUUAAAUAUAUUUAUUAGAUGUUUCAUUUUAGUGAUGUGUAUUCAUAUCUUUAUUUAUUUACUGGUAUUUAGUUACAAACGGGUCUGGGAGAUGGAAACCUGAGAGCCUCGUGUUUGGCCUCCACCGGUGAUUCGGGAAGUUUUUGAUGGAGGCCCGUAAUGGGAGGCACAGCUGACCCUUGAACGACAUGGGGGCUCGGGGCACC